Molecule: ribosomal RNA, 445 nt
Filed under: uncultured Chryseobacterium sp.
Lineage: Bacteria; Pseudomonadati; Bacteroidota; Flavobacteriia; Flavobacteriales; Weeksellaceae
Description: bacterial SSU rRNA
Rfam family: Bacterial small subunit ribosomal RNA
Source: RNAcentral
GUGAGGAAUAUUGGACAAUGGGUGCAAGCCUGAUCCAGCCAUCCCGCGUGAAGGAUUAAGGUCCUAUGGAUUGUAAACUUCUUUUAUACAGGGAUAAACCUCUCCUCGUGAGGAGAGCUGAAGGUACUGUAUGAAUAAGCACCGGCUAACUCCGUGCCAGCAGCCGCGGUAAUACGGAGGGUGCAAGCGUUAUCCGGAUUUAUUGGGUUUAAAGGGUCCGUAGGCGGGCCGAUAAGUCAGUGGUGAAAUCUCGCAGCUUAACUGUGAAACUGCCAUUGAUACUGUCGGUCUUGAGUAAAUUUGAAGUGGCUGGAAUAAGUAGUGUAGCGGUGAAAUGCAUAGAUAUUACUUAGAACACCAAUUGCGAAGGCAGGUCACUAAGAUUUAACUGACGCUGAUGGACGAAAGCGUGGGUAGCGAACAGGAUUAGAAACCCUAGUAGUCC